UACGGAGGGUGCAAGCGUUGUUCGGAAUCAUUGGGCGUAAAGCGCGUGUAGGCGGCUUGGCAAGUCAGUUGUGAAAGCCCGGGGCCCAACCCCGGAACUGCAUCUGAAACUGCUUGGCUCGAGUCCCGGAGAGGAAGGCAGAAUUCCCGGUGUAGGGGUGAAAUCCGUAGAUAUCGGGAGGAAUACCAGCGGCGAAGGCGGCCUUCUGGACGGUGACUGACGCUGAGACGCGAAAGCGUGGGGAGCAAACAGG
RNAcentral lists this ribosomal RNA (253 nucleotides) under uncultured bacterium. RNAcentral describes it as "partial 16S ribosomal RNA". It matches the Rfam family "Bacterial small subunit ribosomal RNA", at positions 524 to 776 of the family's 1533-position model. The record is from RNAcentral.